GCAGGUUGGGUUUGUUACCCCACCUAUACUGCUGGUGAAGCUGUGUGGCUGCUUUAAAUUACUGGGCGGCCCCUUUGUACUCUAUAUAUGGGUAGGGGAUGACUAUUCAUGGUGCAUUUCCUGUUCCCCCUCCUCAUUGCUCCGGGCUCUGACUUCCGUGCCGGCAGCGUUCAGCGUGGAGUUUAGCGCGAUUGUUUGCGUUACUUCUCAAGAGUUUCAGGUAUCUGGUUACAGUAUUAUGGCAUAAUAUGACAGUUUGGCUUAAUUAUUAACUCUCCUUAUUCGCUUGUAGUUGCGUGCUCGUGGUGUUAUUGCCAGUCCAGCGCGGCUGUGUGUCUCUGACUGUGUCAGUGCAGUUUCACUUUCACUAAGGUAUGCCUGCUCCUCUUUGUGUAUGUUUUGGCUGUGUAUAUGGCGUUUAGCUAACUUUUAUUUCUUGGGUUGUGGGUUAGUGAUGGUGACUGUGCUGCUUUGCUGUAGCCAUUGUUCUGCUGGAGCUGCUUUGCUGUAGCCAUUGUCUGCUGGAGCUGCUGUUUGCCCUAGCCAUUACCUGCUGCUGUGUGCUGUGGUCAUUGUCUGCUAUAGCUGCUGGGAGAAACUGAUGCUCUAUACUGGUAUGUAUAUAAGCUGCAUUUAUUUUAUAUUGAGUAUUAGUUAAAUUAAUUGUAGCUUGGUGCAUUUUUUUAUAGGUUUUAGUGUCCAGAUUGUGCUGACUGAUUCCAGCCUCCCCACAGUGCUGCUGUUUUGCCUGAGUUUAUUUAGUUUUGUUUCAUUAAUUUUCAUUUGCUCCUAGUUAUUUUGAGUUUUUGUCUUGCUUUUCUUCAUUUUAUUUGUUAAAUCAGCUUUGAUUUGCCUUUAGUUAUUUUGAUAUUUUGUUGUAUUGAUUUUCUUUUGUCUUUAUUUUGAGUUAAGAUUUGCUGGAGUUUAUUUUUGUGUAUUUUUUUUCUUUAUUGGAUUAAAAUUAUAUUUUUGCUUUAUUUCUGAUUUGCUGUUUUGGACCUUUGAGGUUUAUUCUGGCUUAUUAAUUUGGGAUUUGCUUUGACUUAAUUUCGGGUUUAUUCAUGAUUUACUAAUUUGGGUUUGCUUUUGAUUUCUUUUUGGUCUAUUUCUGAUUUAUUGUGUGGAGUUGCUUUUGACCUAACCUCUGUUUAUUUAAUUUUUUUGCUGAGUUUGCUUCUGAUUUAAUUUAUUUUGCCAGAUUGAACUUUCAUUUGUCCAUUUACUUUAACAAAGUUUAAGUUUGUUUCUGUGUUUUUUUGAAUUAACAAAAACAAGAACAGUGGUUGUGGAAUUCCCUUCUUGGCUGUGUGUUUGUCUUUUUAGUGUUGGAGUGGUAUAAGGUGAGGUUGUAAGAGACCAGGGCCCAUAAAAAGAUAAGUACAUUUCGAGCAAUUGUAAUUGGUCUCUCUCCCUUCACCGCUGGUAGCUUUUAAUAAUUGUUUUUUUUUCUUUGUGUCUCUUAGUUGGACCGGAGCUGUGGGCCAAAGCGGCGGGUUCGGGGAUGUGGAAUGCUGUUCACCUUUCCUGUAGUGUAGAGCACGCUGGGUGUUGAGAUGUGUGGUUUGUAGUGUUGACUAUUUCCUCUUCCUGUACUUUCUUCUGCCGUGGUAAGCCCUCAGCCCAGUUCCUCCCUAAAUUUGUUUUUAGUAAAGUAAAUUCUACUAUUUCUAUUUUUAUACUGUUGUCCAAGAAGGGAGUUUCUGGUCUGCCCUGUGUGUGUGUGUGGAAAUAUGUUUUAAAAUAAUUGUCAAUAAAUUUUCCUUAACUGAUGGUACCCCGUCUCUGGCCUCCGAGUGUGUCGAACCUGGGUGUCUUAUUCUCUCUUAGGCCUUAAGUGCCAGCCCUCUUUUCCUAGAGGUGAAAUCACCUCUGGGUGGCGUAGUCGUGCAUUAUCAAGAUUACUCCUCUCUGCCACA
This is a long non-coding RNA of Astyanax mexicanus (Mexican tetra), 1916 nucleotides long. RefSeq lists it as uncharacterized. NCBI's taxonomy places the organism in Eukaryota, Metazoa, Chordata, Actinopteri, Characiformes, Acestrorhamphidae. The record is from RefSeq and is a predicted model, not a curated record. The transcript is spliced from 2 exons.